GAUGAACGCUGGCGGCGUGCCUAAUACAUGCAAGUCGAGCGAACAGACGAGGAGCUUGCUCCUCUGACGUUAGCGGCGGACGGGUGAGUAACACGUGGAUAACCUACCUAUAAGACUGGGAUAACUUCGGGAAACCGGAGCUAAUACCGGAUAAUAUAUUGAACAGCAUGGUUCAAUAGUGAAAGACGGUUUUGCUGUCACUUAUAGAUGGAUCCGCGCCGCAUUAGCUAGUUGGUAAGGUAACGGCUUACCAAGGCGACGAUGCGUAGCCGACCUGAGAGGGUGAUCGACCACACUGGAACGGAGACACGGUCCAGACUCCUACGGGAGGCAGCAGUAGGGAAUCUUCCGCAAAGGGCGAAAGCCUGACGGAGCAACGCCGCGUGAGUGAUGAAGGUCUUCGGAUCGUAAAACUCUGUUAUUAGGGAAGAACAAAUGUGUAAGUAACUAUGCACGUCUUGACGGUACCUAAUCAGAAAGCCACGGCUAACUACGUG
Molecule: ribosomal RNA, 497 nt
Filed under: uncultured bacterium
Lineage: Bacteria
Description: partial 16S ribosomal RNA
Rfam family: Bacterial small subunit ribosomal RNA
Source: RNAcentral